This 492-nucleotide ribosomal RNA is filed under the name uncultured bacterium. RNAcentral's name for it is "partial 16S ribosomal RNA". It matches the Rfam family "Bacterial small subunit ribosomal RNA", at positions 29 to 507 of the family's 1533-position model. The record is from RNAcentral.
AAUGAACGCUGGCGGUAGGCCUAACACAUGCAAGUCGAACGGCAGCACAGUAAGAGCUUGCUCUUACGGGUGGCGAGUGGCGGACGGGUGAGGAAUACAUCGGAAUCUACUUUUUCGUGGGGGAUAACGUAGGGAAACUUACGCUAAUACCACAUACGACCUACGGGUGAAAGCAGGGGAUCUUCGGACCUUGCGCUAUUGAAUGAGCCGAUGUCGGAUUAGCUAGUUGGCGGGGUAAAGGCCCACCAAGGCGACGAUCCGUAGCUGGUCUGAGAGGAUGAUCAGCCACACUGGAACUGGGACACGGUCCAGACUCCUACGGGAGGCAGCAGUGGGGAAUAUUGGACAAUGGGCGCAAGCCUGAUCCAGCAAUACCGCGUGGGUGAAGAAGGACUUCGGGUUGUAAAGCCCUUUUGUUGGGAAAGAAAAGCAGCAGGUUAAUACCCCGCUGUUCUGACGGUACCCAAAGAAUAAGCACCGGCUAACUUCGUG